AGGGUUUGAUUCUGGCUCAGGACGAACGCUGGCGGCGUGCUUAACACAUGCAAGUCGAACGGGGUGUUUAUUUCGGUAAACACCAAGUGGCGAACGGGUGAGUAACGCGUAAGCAAUCUACCUUCAAGAUGGGGACAACACUUCGAAAGGGGUGCUAAUACCGAAUGAAUGUAAGAGUAUCGCAUGAGACACUUACUAAAGGAGGCCUCUGAAAAUGCUUCCGCUUGAAGAUGAGCUUGCGUCUGAUUAGCUAGUUGGUGAGGGUAAAGGCCCACCAAGGCGACGAUCAGUAGCCGGUCUGAGAGGAUGAACGGCCACAUUGGGACUGAGACACGGCCCAG
This 341-nucleotide ribosomal RNA is filed under the name uncultured bacterium. RNAcentral's name for it is "bacterial SSU rRNA". It matches the Rfam family "Bacterial small subunit ribosomal RNA", at positions 8 to 334 of the family's 1533-position model. The record is from RNAcentral.